GGGGAAUAUUGCACAAUGGGNGNAANCCUGAUGCAGCGACGCCGCGUGAGGGAAGAAGGCCUUCGGGUUGUAAACCUCUUUCGGCAGGGACGAAGCGAAAGUGACGGUACCUGCAGAAGAAGCGCNGGCCAANUACGUGCCAGCAGCCGCGGUAAGACGUAGGGCGCAAGCGUUGUCCGGAUUUAUUGGGCGUAAAGAGCUCGUAGGCGGCUUGUCGCGUCGACUGUGAAAACCCGCAGCUUAACUGCGGGACUGCAGUCGAUACGGGCAGGCUAGAGUUCGGUAGGGGAGACUGGAAUUCCUGGUGUAGCGGUGAAAUGCGCAGAUAUCAGGAGGAACACCGGUGGCGAAGGCGGGUCUCUGGGCCGAUACUGACGCUGAGGAGCGAAAGCGUGGGGAGCGAACAGGAUUAGAUACCCUGGUAGUCCACGCUGUAAACGUUGGGCGCUAGGUGUGGGGGGCCUCUCCGGUCCUCUGUGCCGCAGCUAACGCAUUAAGCGCCCCGCCUGGGGAGUACGGCCGCAAG
Molecule: ribosomal RNA, 526 nt
Filed under: uncultured bacterium
Lineage: Bacteria
Description: bacterial SSU rRNA
Rfam family: Bacterial small subunit ribosomal RNA
Source: RNAcentral